Molecule: long non-coding RNA, 1454 nt
Organism: Chrysoperla carnea
Lineage: Eukaryota; Metazoa; Arthropoda; Insecta; Neuroptera; Chrysopidae
Exons: 3
Source: RefSeq, a predicted model, not a curated record
UUUAAAUGCCCUCACUCUAUUAAAGUCACGGAAGAAAAAUGUUUGAACUAAACUUUAAAUUUCAUGAAUAUUCCCUCUCAAUAUUAUAUUUUAUCUAUGAUGUAAUUGUAUCAGAGGGUCAGAGACAGGACCGGCUUUAGGUGAGAUAGCGGCCGGUGCGAGUAUGAAAAAAUUCGACCCUUCAUAGAUUUUUAUUUCAAUUAUCUCUGGUUAUUUUUGAUGGUCUCCAAAACUUAUUGAUCAUUCUACAUUCAGUUUAGAACAAUUUAUUAUUGACAAUUUACACACUAUUUCUCAAUAGUUAAAACUGUUCGCUGAAAUUUAUCGGAAAAAUACAUUUUUAUUGAGGUACAAUGUGAAAUUAUAUAGGCUACAUCAAGUGAAAUUAACUUUGCGUGCUUUGACCUCUUCAAAUUACUGGAUGGUUUUGGAGAAAUCAAGUUGAGUUCCAAUUUCGUUUUCGAUCGACAGCAACGCCAAAGAAUUCAGUUUUGUGUUGGACAUCGUGAAUCUCAAGUACGUCUUGAUCAGUUUUAGUUUUGAAAAACUUCGUUCUCAAACUCGGGUAAAGUCAGCAUGAUUCGGAGAGCAGCUCAAAUAUUAGAGAAGACGUCAAUUAUCUUAUUUUCUACAAUGAAUUUCAAAACUUCUAAUGAACGUUUGAUUGUAUCAGGUUUUAUGGUUCGGAAUAGUUUUUAUUCUUCAUACAGUUCCCUCCCGAUGUCCGAGUCAUUUUCGGUCGUGAGAGUAGCACUUAAAUCUUGACAUACUGAUAACAAAUAAGAAUCUUUUUCAGCUGAAUCUUCAGAGUUCUGCGUUUUUAGUAAAGGAGAGAAUUCGUAUAAAAAUCCCCAAACUUGGUCGUGACUUUUUAGCUACUGAAAUCGUUCAUUAACAGAAGUUGAAGUAGUAUUAACCAAAGCAAGGAAAAAAUCUCUUCGAAAUUGAUUUUCUGGUGUAGCAUCUGCAUCAUCUUAACUUUUGUAAUCGAACAUUCUUCUUCUACGGGAUGACGUAUAAAGAAAUGGGUCAAUCGAAAGAUUCGUUCAUUGACAUAUGUACGCAUAAGACGACAUUAUAGACCACAAAGUUUGAAUUUAUGAUACUUAUUGCAGAAUACUGUUUUCUCUGUUUAUGAAAGCGAUUUUCGAAAAACGAAAGGCAAACUUAUUCGAUGUAGGCGAACCUUCAGGAGCUACAGAAAGUGGCGGUAUUGAUGGCAUUACAAAUCUGCUGAUUUUGCAGAUUUCUUUAAUCUGUCGAAGACAAAAAGGAUUGGACUUGUCUUAUUUUUCUUCCAACCAAUGUUAGAUCUCCCGUACAUGAUGUUGUGGACACAACAUACGCACAAUUAAAUGAACGUUUUUUGGCACUAGUUGGACCAUCAAUGUUUAAUCAAAACGAUAAUGAAGUAACCAAUGAAGAGGCUUCGUUAGAAUUAUGUCGAACAAAAU